RNAcentral lists this transfer RNA (61 nucleotides) under Heterocephalus glaber (naked mole-rat). It matches the Rfam family "tRNA", at positions 6 to 65 of the family's 71-position model. From Rfam's summary of the family: Transfer RNA (tRNA) molecules are approximately 80 nucleotides in length. Their secondary structure includes four short double-helical elements and three loops (D, anti-codon, and T loops). The record is from Rfam by way of RNAcentral. Lineage: Eukaryota; Metazoa; Chordata; Mammalia; Rodentia; Bathyergidae.
UGUGGCUCAAGGGUAGAGCACUUGCUUUGUAAGUGUGAGGGCCUGGGUUGAAGCCCCAGCA